Long non-coding RNA from Notolabrus celidotus (New Zealand spotty), 2144 nucleotides. RefSeq lists it as uncharacterized. The transcript has 2 exons. NCBI's taxonomy places the organism in Eukaryota, Metazoa, Chordata, Actinopteri, Labriformes, Labridae. The record is from RefSeq and is a predicted model, not a curated record.
UGGAGAACCAGAUGGUACAUCCCAAUCUCUCCUCCUCUCUGUCUCUCAUUCUCCUCCCUCCUGCUUCCAGUGUCCUCCAUCUCUCCGCUUUCCCUCAUUUUCUCUUAUUAAGGACAUUCUCACUUCUAGAGCUUGCUGCAGUUCUUACUCCAUCUGUAAUCCCUGUCAUCUCUACAGAGCUUUUGGAGAGUGAAGCAGCACCGAGCUGACCUUAUAAAGACUCCACCAGACCAGACCACACCUCUGUCUCUGAGUCCAUGGAAGCCAAGGCCAAGUCCGGGGCUUCAGCGCCCAAGGCAGCAUCCAAAGCAGAGAAGAAAGAGGCAGCAGCCCCACGCAAGAGUGACCCUGCGCCUGUAGCACCUGAGCCAGAGCAGCCCCCUCCUCAGGAUGGAGCAGCAGAGACGGAAGCAGCAGGUGAUGAGGCUGCGGCCUCUGGCACAGACUCUCUGGAACAACUGAAGCCCUUCCUCAUCGGUGGUGCAGUUAUUGCUGCAGGAGCCAUCCUGCUGGGAAUGCUGCUACUGGCGAGGAGAAAUUAAAACCAAAUCAUUAUCUCAAGUUAAAGUAUUCAUUGGUUAAUGAGCUAGAGCGCCAUUGCUAAGUGGUUCACAGACUAUGAUACCUGGGGGAUGGGGAGCCACUGUGCAUCAUAUUGUUUUUGUUUUCUGUUUUUUUUUAGCCUGCUUUCACUUAUAGCAAAUCAAACCGUUCAAGUUUUGAUCAAAGGCUGUAUAUGAAGCAUAAAUACAUAUAGUAUAUGCAUGAAGUUACUUCAAUAUUGCAUCUGAACUGUAAUAAUCUCUUUCCUAAAAAAACAACUCACUGUAGUGCUGAACUUUAGAGCCGGGCCUCUCUAAAACUAGCUUAUUCAACUGCUCUAUCUUCUUUAAACCAGUUUGCACAAGUGUUGACAAAAGAUUGCAAUAUUUGUACAUUCUUGCACUGAAUAUGUGAUUGGUUUCACGUUGCUAAAAUAUGGUGAAAGAACCUUCUCAUAAUGUUGAAACUAUGGAUAAUAAUGCCGGCUACCACAGUCGCUCUAGGGUUUAUUUUACUUCUGCAUAAGAGAAUGGAAAGAAUAGGACUGAAACAGAUGGGAAUAUGCAUUUGGAUGUAUCACACAUGAUGUGGCUAAAUCAGUGAUGAAGACAAGAUCUCCAGCUUCUCUUUCCUUAGAAUAGAAAGUAAUUCAAAAAGUGAGCGCCACCGUGCAUUUUAUAAAUCCGCUUUUUCAGAGACAGAAAAUAUGAGCAUGCAAUGAUUUAGGAAUGGGAUGUUUGGGGAAUGUUGCAGAAAAAUAAAUGUAGUAGGUGGCAGUGAACAAUAGUUCUGUUAUGUCUUGCUGUAGAGUAAGGAAGAGUUUACUUUUACUGUAAAAUGAUGUCACAAAUCAAUAACCUUUCAUGUCUUACACAAAAGCCACCGUCAUGCUUGUUCAAUCUGUUCCCGUCUUACAGCAGAAGUAGUUGGAGAAAGGCUGAACGGCCAAUAGUGUUUGGAUUUGCUGCUGCAAACCCUCACCUGUACAGAUGUACACAAUAACGUCCACUCACAUGUAAAGCUCAUUGGGUUGUUCCUGUUGCAUAAGUAGUUAGCUGAUAGACAGUCGUGAUACACACCAUCACUUGAUAUAAGUUGUAAGGGUAAAUAUGAAUUUCAGAACAUUCUUCUGGCUAAUAGAUAUUGUAUAAACAUACCGCAUUAACCACAGUCAACAACCCAAACACAUCUAAAAGAUAGUAUGCCAACACCAAAAAUAUCUUCACCUUACAUUGUACAAUACAGUGUACCAAAAAAAGAUCCUAUUUUCAUAAUUUCAACAGCGUAUAAAUGCAAUAAUUCAGGUAGGACUCCUCAUUUAGCACACGUGCUGUAGCAAGUUAAAUUAUAUAAAGGAUGAUGUAAUAGUAUUGUUAUGGAUGAUAGUUUAUGAUAUAAGUGAUGGUAAUGAUUGUGAGAUGAAGAUGAUGAUGAUUUGAUGAGGUUUCAUGGUGACUGUAUGGAAGAUUAUGAUGGUUAUGAUAUAUUUUUGAUAUAUUUCUAACAUAUUUUCCUUAUGCACACUCCCUCCUGCCCCCAAACUCCUGAUGUAAAAAAGAGAAAGGAUGUAAUCUAACCUUUAUUAAAGUCAGUGAACCAGU